UGCGCCCUCGGCAUCGGCGCCCACGUCGAUUGCUUUUUUAAAACGGGAAAUAGCCGGGCCCAUUCCGGUGUCUUGGAAUUCCGGAUUUAAUUUAACUCUAGCUGGCCGUUAUAGGCAUCCCCUGUUGUCAUUUUCUGUUUCCGGUUGUGCUGCUGUGGUAUUUCCGUCUGUGGCGUUUGGAAGCUCGUACCUUAUUUUUUAACUGCAGGGUGCGGUGAUGAACGUGGGACAGCGGGGAGUUAGGAGUUAGUUCAUUAAGAAUUAGGUAAUUAGGUCUGAUGAUGUUCUUUCAUAAUCUGUAACAAAUGUUACACAAUAAUAUAAGAUGUCGGUGGAGCAGUGAUGUAUUGGAAUUCUGCAUGAUUGUUUUAUGCCAGCCAUGUUUUCUGGUUGUGUGCCCCUUCUUGCAAGAUUGAGAAUAAGUUCUUUUCAUCUCCACAAUCGGGUGAGCCUUGUUUUCUUCUAGAAGAAGAUUUAUUUCUUACACAGUUGACAGAACUUUCCAUCUCACCCUAAUUUAAGUUACAGCUGCAAGCUUCUAGAAAGUCUACAAAACUGUUUGCAGUAGUUGAGAGUUGGCGCUUCCAUUGCAGAGCAAUCCACUA
RNAcentral lists this long non-coding RNA (605 nucleotides) under Dasypus novemcinctus (nine-banded armadillo). RNAcentral describes it as "lncRNA (ENSDNOG00000050273.1)". Lineage: Eukaryota; Metazoa; Chordata; Mammalia; Cingulata; Dasypodidae. The record is from RNAcentral.